Molecule: ribosomal RNA, 528 nt
Filed under: Anoscopus serratulae
Lineage: Eukaryota; Metazoa; Arthropoda; Insecta; Hemiptera; Cicadellidae
Description: partial large subunit ribosomal RNA
Rfam family: Bacterial large subunit ribosomal RNA (bases 394-528)
Source: RNAcentral
AAACAUUUCUUUUAGUUUUUAUUUAAAAGUAUUCCCUGCUCUAUGAUAAUAAUUAAAUGGCUGCAGUAUUUUAACUGUACAAAGGUAGCAUAAUAAAUAGUUUCUUAAUUGGGAGCUUGUAUGAAAGGGUUUAUGAAUUAUAAUUUUUAUUUUAUUUAUUUUUAGAACUUUAUUUCUAAGUAAAAAAGCUUAGUUUCUUUUUUGGGACGAAAAGACCCUAUAGAACUUGAUUGAUUUAAUUUAUUAUUUAUUUUUUGUUUUUUUCAUUAAGUUAAUAUUUAUGUUUAUUUGAUUGGGGCGAUUAUUAAGAAUAACAAAACUUUAUUUUCUUAUUUCAUUUAUUAAUGUUUUAUUGGUCCAAUAUUUUUGAUUAAAAGAUUUAGUUACCUUAGGGAUAACAGCGUAAUUUUAAUGGGGAGUUCUUAUUUAUAUUAAAGUUUGCGACCUCGAUGUUGAAUUAAGAUUAGAAUAUGGGGUAGGUUUUAUAAUUUCUAGGUCUGUUCGACCUUUAAUUUCUUACAUGAUCUG